GCCCAUGUUGCUCAGUGGUUAGAGUGUUGGCUCAUGAACCAAAGAAUCUUGAGUUUGAUUCCCAGUCAAGGGCA
Non-coding RNA from Myotis brandtii (Brandt's bat), 74 nucleotides. The record is from Rfam. NCBI's taxonomy places the organism in Eukaryota, Metazoa, Chordata, Mammalia, Chiroptera, Vespertilionidae.